This 238-nucleotide unclassified non-coding RNA is filed under the name Hevea brasiliensis (rubber tree). The record is from RNAcentral. Lineage: Eukaryota; Viridiplantae; Streptophyta; Magnoliopsida; Malpighiales; Euphorbiaceae.
CUUUUUCUCUCUGAAUUCCUUCUUUCUUUCUACAUUCUAUCUCUCUCCCUCUGCUUGUUGAAGAUUUUUGAUAGAUAGGUACAUUUAUAGAGAGAGAGAGAGAGAGAGAGAGAGAGAGAGAGAUAUACCUGCAUACAGUGACAAUCAUCACUCUUGGAGAUGAGAGGACCUUUGGGGGCAGUGAUAGGGAGUUACCCAUCAAGUGAUGGAAGUACCCAAAUUGGUGGAAUCAUUAGGC